Phacochoerus africanus (Common warthog) is the source of this 939-nucleotide long non-coding RNA. RefSeq lists it as uncharacterized. The transcript has 4 exons. Lineage: Eukaryota; Metazoa; Chordata; Mammalia; Artiodactyla; Suidae. The record is from RefSeq and is a predicted model, not a curated record.
CUUUACCAAAAGCCUUUUAUUAAAGGGUGUCACAGUGGGCCCGAAGUUCACUAGCUUCUACUUAAAAACAAGCCCCAGACUCAGCCUACCUGAACUCUGGAGAACCAAAGUUGGUUCUCUGAAGGUGUAGAGGGACAGGUGCCCGUUUUAAUUCCUCGCUCUCUCCUCCCCCAAUCCCCCCACCUUUCCGCGGUCGUGACGCUGACCUCCCCAGGAGCGAUUCGGAUGUCCCGUGGCUCCUGCCUUAGCUCUGCCGGGUGGACCGAGGCUGUCCUCCUCCAACCGUGCACACAUCCCCCUCCCCCCGCAACACACACACAUACACACACCUCGCCCGGCCAGAUCUCCCUCAAGCAACGCUGCCUGCCUCUUGCCCAGCGCCAAACUCUGAAGGUUUGGAAAAUCCGGGACAAAAACGUAGGCGGCGGGAAUCGGCGAGAAGGACGCGAGAUAAAGAGACCACCUAGAAGGAAAUUAACCCAACGUUCCCAUUGCGGGGGCCUCUCCUGACCCGAUUUUCUCCUUCCGGAGCGCUCCGCAGAGCACAAACUGCAAGGGAGAGCGAGCCAAGCCAGAGCCCGAGGCGCCUGUCAAGACGCGCGCUACUUGGAAUCCACCCCCACCUCUCGCCAAGACCUCAAAGUUGGAAAGCACCUCAUCUCAGCCUCUCCGUGCAUUGGUAGGGUUACUUCUGCUUUCUGUUCUUAAGAAGUGUGCUGCUGUAUCAUACCAAAACCACUUAUUGAUUGCAAAAGAAAAAAAUGAAGUGGAUAAAAUGGAUCUGACCUUAACGAGCAAUGAAUGAAGAGUUCCUGUUGUUCUAUAUCCUCGUCAGCAUUUCGUGUUGUCAGUAUUUUGGAUUUUGGCCCAUUCUCCUAGGUGUACAGUAGGUCUCAUCUUUGUUUUGGUCAAGGCAAAGCCGGAUCCUUAACCGCUGAG